This 723-nucleotide ribosomal RNA is filed under the name uncultured Glomerales. RNAcentral describes it as "LSU rRNA". It matches the Rfam family "Eukaryotic large subunit ribosomal RNA", at positions 38 to 633 of the family's 3401-position model. The record is from RNAcentral. Lineage: Eukaryota; Fungi; Glomeromycota; Glomeromycetes; Glomerales; Glomeraceae.
GCAUAUCAAUAAGCGGAGGAAAAGAAAAUAACAAUGAUUCCCCUAGUAACUGCGAGUGAAGAGGGACAAGCUCAGAUUUUAAAUCUGUUUGGUUCUUACCAAACCGAGUUGUAAUUUGAAGAAAAUGUUUUCUGUGUCUUGAAUUAAUUUAAAUCCUCUGGAAUGAGGUAUCAUGGAGGGUGACAAUCCCGUUCGUGGUUAAUUUUAAGACGCUUUAUGAUACGUUUUCGAAGAGUCGAGUUGUUUGGGAUUGCAGCUCAAAAUGGGAGGUAAAUUUCUCCUAAGGCUAAAUAUUGGCGAGAGACCGAUAGCGAACAAGUACCGUGAGGGAAAGAUGAAAAGAACUUUGAAAAGAGAGUUAAACAGUACGUGAAAUUGUUGAAAGGGAAACGAUUGAAGUCAGUCGUACCAGCGAGAAAUCAACCUUUCGGAAUGGGAUUUUGAAAAAAAUGAUUGUUCCUUUUGGUGUACUUUCUCGUGGGUAGGUUAACAUCGAUUUCGAUCAUCAUAAAAAGAUUGGAGGAAUGUAGCUUCGAUCUCGUAUUGAAGUGUUAUAGCCUUUAGUAAAUGUGAUGAUCAAGAUCGAGGAUUGCAACGAAUAUCCUUUGGGCUAUCCGUCUGAUCUCUGAUACGUUGCCUUGGUAUCGAAAGCUUGCUUAUGGUAUUAAGGUAUUACGGUCAAAAGGUUAGAACGUGAUUACAUUCGUUAANGAUGUUGACGUA